RNAcentral lists this ribosomal RNA (198 nucleotides) under uncultured bacterium. Its description in RNAcentral is "partial 16S ribosomal RNA". It matches the Rfam family "Bacterial small subunit ribosomal RNA", at positions 328 to 539 of the family's 1533-position model. The record is from RNAcentral.
ACGCUCGACACCUACGGGAGGCAGCAGUGGGGAAUAUUGCACAAUGGGGGAAACCCUGAUGCAGCGACGCCGCGUGAAGGAAGAAGUAUCUCGGUAUGUAAACUUCUAUCAGCAGGGAAGAAAGUGACGGUACCUGACUAAGAAGCCCCGGCUAACUACGUACCAGCAGCCGCGGUAAUCUGAGCGGGCUGGCAAGGC